This 322-nucleotide unclassified non-coding RNA is filed under the name Hevea brasiliensis (rubber tree). Lineage: Eukaryota; Viridiplantae; Streptophyta; Magnoliopsida; Malpighiales; Euphorbiaceae. The record is from RNAcentral.
GGAGGAAGGGGCAAAGCCAGAGAUUUACACGGAAGAACACGAGAAAUUGUUGGGUUCCACUGAUUUGAGCUGGACUUUUUUUGUGGAUGGAUAUGGAAAUGAUGGGAAGAGAAUCUAUGAUCCAGUCAAAGGAAAAACUUGUCAUCAGUGCCGACAGAAAACUCUUGGUCAUCGUACUCAUUGUAGCAAUUGCCAAAUUGUUCAAGGACAAUUCUGUGGAGAUUGCUUGUAUAUGAGAUACGGAGAACAUGUACUCGAAGCGAACAAGAAUCCGAAUUGGCUUUGCCCUGUUUGUCGAGGAAUAUGUAACUGCAGCUUGUGC